UAGAUAGAUAGAUAGAUAGAUAGAUAGAUAGAUAGAUAGAUAGAUAGAUAGAUAGAUAGAUAGAUAGAUAGAUAGAUAGAUAGAUAGAUAGAUAGGCAACGACAACUUUUAACACUGUGAAUGAGAACGGUUGAGAAUAUCAGGAAGCCCAAAAGCCUGGCUUAGAUAUUUAUUUUGGUAAGAAAAAACUGCAUAAAUACAUUUGGAUUUAUACAUAUAAUUUGUACUUGCCCAAGCUUUUCUCUUUUUUGCUGAAAUCGUAGUUUCUCACAAAACAUUAGCAUUUCUUUAUUAUGACUCGUUGAUACACCUUUAGAGAAAAAUGGGUAAUUAAAAAGCCAAUACCUCUUGCAGUUUCUGGAAAUUUGCUUAUUAUUGAUCCCUUUUCUCUUCUCCUGCUGUGAACCAGAUGCGUUUCUCUAUUGAUCUCACAUCACACUGUGCAGUGUACCGGCACAGUAUUUUUAAAUCUAAAGCUAUUACGUAUCGAUCUCAAAAAACUUUAGAUUUUUUUUCCUUCAAAAUACAUACAAGUUAGUUUGAAGGAGAAUUAUUUUCAGCUCAAAGCGAUAUUCGACUUACUGGGGUAUUAAUUGCUACAUUCAUACAGAAAAUGAAAUAGUUUUCAUUAAUGUAUUCCAAGUUAUACUGCAGCGUUCAUGUGUACCAUUAGCACAAAGGGCAUUCUUGGCUAAUUUUGCUUUUUAAACAAAUCCUUUACUCCGUCAGCAUCAUUCCUCUGAAGGUGUUUGAAAUGUUCUGGGUAUGCAGCCACCACAGUGAGAUUUCAAGCCUGAUUUACAUGAUUUCUAUAUAUGGCUCUCACUUCAAGGUACACCCAUUGCGGUUUUGAUACAGAGAUGCUUUGUUGUUAGGAAACGAGGAAAAAAAGACCACAAAACAAAAACAAAAAGUCUAUUUCUGUCAUAAGACAACCCUCUACAGUCUUGCGGAUGUCAGAAGUUGAAAUUACAAGACCAAGGCGGUGAGCGCUGCAGCUCUCUCCUGACAGAAGGAAGAGAAAUAAACAGCAGUGGCUCACAGGAAAACACAUUGCCAGUAAGCACAAGUGAUACAUUUGGCAAGAUGUCCACUGUUUUUAAAUGACAGCUAGGGGUCUGUCACUUUGUUCUUACUGUAGAAUCCAUUAGUCAUGUUUAGACUGCAGCUUUUGUCUCUAUUUUUAUGUACUUGUGGUACCCCAUCUUUCCACUGUACUGUUGUGUGUGCCACCAUUUUCUUCACAGUUUUAUUUUUCUAUUAUUUAAGUAAGAAUGGCAUUUGUAAAUAUCUAAUAAGGGACAGGGAGUCAUUUAAAGUAACAACACAAAAAAGUCAUUGUUUGAUUUUAAUGUAGUUCAUUUUAUCAUGGAUUAUAAAUUAAAGUAAUUAAGUUUUUUGUGUAAUCUAUUUAAAUUUAAUAUCCUUUCACACAACAAAGCUAGCAAGAACUUUAACUUGUGUGCGCAUGAAAGACUCUAUGUAUGAAUAUGUCAUAAAGUUUUAUAGAGCCUCAGCCAGCCAGGUUUAUAAAUAUGCAUGAUAUAUUUAUUUUUUUUAUUUAAGAGACUUCCCAGUGUUUGGGAAGUUUUCCAAGAAAAGGUGUUAUGGAUCACAACGUUGCUGCACAAGGAUAACUGACAGAGAGACAUUCUUGCAGUUGUUCAAAAGAGCACAAGAAGUAAAACAAAAGAAGAACAUUGUCUGUGAUUCUGCAUGUAUGUUCACACCCUUUAUCAGUGGUAGAAGAAGUGGGUGGUCACACACUGAGGUGAAAACUCACACCUAGGAUUUAAACACUUGCAGCAGAUCUGUAGUUCUGUGCCAACAAUCAAAAUACUAUGUUUACUGCAGGUUAGUGUGCAGGCUGUUUUUAAUCAUUUUGAUUAUUUUUUUAUUCAAAUUCAUUAAAUAAUUGACUGGAAUUUAAUAAAGAAGAUGAAUAAAAACAUUAUGAUAAUACUAACAUUUCAACAGUAAGUUACCCUAUUUUCUUAUAUAAACUUGAAUCUAGACAUAAAGCUUUUGUACUCUUCAGUGUUCCAAAGGUUAAUAAACUGCUGUUUGAAAAAUCCUUUAUUGUCACUGAAAUGAUCUAGUUGGGUUAGUUCAUACCUCUGUCACGUACCCUUAUUCCACACCCACUUUGUUAUUUUGUUCUAACCUACUUGCAUUUGUACACAUAAAAAGGCAUUUCAGAUCCAUGUAUAUAAGCAUUGCAUUAGUUUGUUACUCCUCUUAUUUAAGUAGUUUUAGGAAUUGUGACAAUGAAUGUUCAUGAAAAUGAACUGAUCUCACAUAGAAUAAAAUUUUAUUCUAUACUAUUUUCUUAAUAUUUCGUGUUGCACCCUAUUUCCAUUGCUUAUGCUUAUGAUCCUAUUUAGGGGCAGUCAACCGUUAUGAAACAUUGGAGAUUAUGACCCUGAUCUAGCCAAACGAAACCCUGAGCAACCUCUUCUAGUAUGAUAAUCAUGUUCAAAGGUCCAAAUCUGAAAAGGUCAAAGGUCGAAAACAAGAACUUUCUUAUGUUUGCUUUGAACUUACAAGCAAACAAAAUGGCACCUAAUGCCUAAAAUAUUUCGUUUGUCACCCUAAGCUGCUGUAAUAUUUUAGAGUAAAAUGUAAUGAGCACACUGAUUUUAUAGAAGCAAUUAUUUUAAAGAUCUUAUUCGAUCACUGUGCCUCGACAAAUAGGUGCAUUUCUUAAAACACAAAAAUAAACAAAAAAAAUAAACCGAACCUAAAGUGCAACAAGACAACCUAACAAAAACAACUGAGUAUUAUUAAAUAAUCAAAUUUUCUGAAAAAACUAAAUUAUGAGUUUUUAUUAGCUGUAAGCCAUAAUUAUUAAAAGUAACAAAACUAAAUACAUAAAAUAUAUAUUCUUGUCUGUAAUAAAUUUGUGCAAUAUGAGUUUUUUGAGGUGAAUCUCUGAAAUAAAUUAACUCUUCAAUGAUAUUCAAAUUUAUUAGGUUGCACUUGUACAAAAGUUAUGUACACUGUCCUAAUGUUGCAGAACACUGUGAAUUCUACACCCUUCAUCCAAAUGCAUUCAUGCUAUACCAAAAAGUGACAAACAAAUCUCAGGCAGAUGGUAGGAAUUGAUGUUACACAAAAUGUACUUAAUUCCACCCCUUUAGACCCAGGUAACAUUGUUUUUUUAAUCCAACAUACAGAACAUGAAAAAAUUGAAAACAAUGGUUUACUUUAGAUUGUCAGAUACAUUUUCCUUUGCACUGCAAAAAUACCUUCCUGACUGCUUUUCUGCUGUUUCCUUUCCGCAUGUGUGAAUGAGCGACUGUGGCUGAUGCUGUGCUCAGGUGAUGAAUGACCAGCCGUGGAUAAAGUACACAGCAAUAACCCCUAGGCAAUUCAAAGCACACUCAGGUGUGGAGUGGUGCAGAGGCAAACAGGAUGCUUUAACCAAACUGGACGACCUCGCUCUCUCUCCUCUCUCUCUGUGCAAAUGAGAGUGCGUGGGUUUGGGCAGCAUGGUGUAGGAAGCACAAACCCCGCUGAGCCCUGUGGGCUAUGAACACUCAUCAGCACAUGGAGAGCUGUUCGCUAUUUUCAAGGAAAUAUCUAUGCUUCCCCCUAUUACACAAAUGGGUCCACAGCAGCGCAAUAGUUUCCUCUGCAAUGCAGCUUGUUUAUUUCUAAUGAGAAGGCUAAUUGUUAAUUAUUUUCUUUCAAACUGUGGUGGUGGACCUGGACUCUCAAUCUGCUGUGGCAGGCGUCUUAAGGCUUGCAGUAGGGCUAAUGUGAUACUGAGACCUACGUGUUUAGUCUUGCUGUGGCAUUCUGUCACCCCCCAACACCCCAUCAGCCCACAAGCACAACAGGAAGGCAGCCCUUGAGGGACAUUACCAGUCCAACCUCUCAUAACAACCUAGCAUAACAUGUAAGCUGCCACUCUACGGAGGCAGGGAGCCCUGUUUUCUGACUUGCCCAGCUCUCCACAUCUCUCAGGGGGCUUGGCAGUGCCAAUGUAGGGGUGGCAGUGAGUGAUGACACCCACUGUGUUUAAUACAGUAUGGAAAUCUAGCACCAGAUGGGCAUCCACAGAUGUAUUGUGGCUGCAAAGUUCUGUAAACCCAGGUCUUUAGGAUGUUAAUUAUAGGUUGCCUUUGUAUGUCGUCUGCUGGCUGACAACAGCAGUACGGGUGCAUUUUAAUAAAUAAAAAUGAUCUAAAAUGUAAAUUACUUUAGUAAAUCAAUUGAAGAAGUGAAACACAUUGUACAGUUUAUACACAGAAUGAUAUAUUUCUAUUAAUUGUAAUUAUCAACCUCAUGUGUCAGAUAUAUCAGGUGUAGCUUUUUUGAUAAUCUGAAUAUUACAUAGGCCAAUAUAAAACUGUUGGGUUCUGGGAGUUGCUGACUUUAUUUUGUGCCUGCUAUUAACUGUGCUUCACCCCUAGGUUGUCCUCUGUUGGGUUAAGGACAGGUGUUUUCCAUCUCCGUGAUCAGCUGGGAGGUUUAAAAGGAGGAUGCUGAAAGUACUUCGAAGCCUCAGUGUUUUGCCUCUGUGGUACAUUCAACUGGCCAAAGUAAACGAACUCCAUGUUUAUGCUAAGCCUAGACUUAUUGAUUUGGUCCUUAGUUGCUUCCAGGUUCAGUUUUGGACACAGCUCAAGUUCCUUUGAAGAACCUACCAGCCUUCGCCUUUUCAUGCCAAGAAUUCAAGUUUGGAUAUUCCGUCAAGCUCCGCUGGUAGCAACUGGAGUCCAUAACCUCAGCUUCCUCCGAGCGAACCCUGUCCACCGUGCAAUGAGCGGCACCUCUGGACUCCAUCUGAAAGAACGCACCGAACCUAAGUUCCUUGGGAAGGAUCAGAACUUAAGUAACCAGGCUUACCAAGCUUACCAGACCCGGAACCUUAUCUCCUCCAGUGAGCCAUCCACACCUACAACUCCGAGGAGUUCCUGUCCCGGACCACGCCUUCCACGAUCCUGUGAUAAAAUAAACUCUUUGAACUUUAUAA
Girardinichthys multiradiatus is the source of this 4981-nucleotide long non-coding RNA. RefSeq lists it as uncharacterized. The record is from RefSeq and is a predicted model, not a curated record. Lineage: Eukaryota; Metazoa; Chordata; Actinopteri; Cyprinodontiformes; Goodeidae. The transcript has 3 exons.